GAGCGGUAAGGCUCCUUCGGGAGUACACGAGCGGCGAACGGGUGAGUAACACGUGAGUAACCUGCCCUUCUCAUCGGAAUAAGCGUUGGAAACGACGUCUAAUGCCGAAUAUGACUUCGGAAGGCAUCUUCUGAAGUGGAAAGCUCCGGCGGAGAAGGAUGGACUCGCGGCCUAUCAGCUUGUUGGUGAGGUAAUGGCUCACCAAGGCGAUGACGGGUAGCCGGCCUGAGAGGGUGACCGGCCACACUGGGACUGAGACACGGCCCAGACUCCUACGGGAGGCAGCAGUGGGGAAUAUUGGACAAUGGGCGAAAGCCUGAUCCAGCAACGCCGCGUGAGGGAUGACGGCCUUCGGGUUGUAAACCUCUUUCAGUAGGGACGAAGCGAAAGUGACGGUACCUACAGAAGAAGGACCGGCCAACUACGUGCCAGCAGCCGCGGUAAUACGUAGGGUCCGAGCGUUGUCCGGAAUUAUUGGGCGUAAAGGGCUCGUAGGCGGUUUGUCGCGUCGGGAGUGAAAACUCAGGGCUCAACCCUGAGCGUGCUUCCGAUACGGGCAGACUAGAGGUAUGCAGG
This 576-nucleotide ribosomal RNA is filed under the name uncultured earthworm cast bacterium. RNAcentral describes it as "bacterial SSU rRNA". It matches the Rfam family "Bacterial small subunit ribosomal RNA", at positions 64 to 655 of the family's 1533-position model. The record is from RNAcentral.